RNAcentral lists this ribosomal RNA (373 nucleotides) under uncultured bacterium. RNAcentral describes it as "bacterial SSU rRNA". It matches the Rfam family "Bacterial small subunit ribosomal RNA", at positions 29 to 430 of the family's 1533-position model. The record is from RNAcentral.
AACGAACGCUGGCGGCAGGCCUAACACAUGCAAGUCGAACGCUCCAGCAAUGGAGAGUGGCAGACGGGUGAGUAACGCGUGGGAACCUUCCCUAUGGUUCGGAAUAGCUCAGGGAAACUUGAGGUAAUACCGGAUAAGCCCUUCGGGGGAAGGAUUAUCGCCAUUGGAUGGGCCCGCGUAGGAUUAGCUAGUUGGUGAGGUAACGGCUCACCAAGGCGACGAUCCUUAGCUGGUCUGAGAGGAUGAUCAGCCACACUGGGACUGAGACACGGCCCAGACUCCUACGGGAGGCAGCAGUGGGGAAUAUUGGACAAUGGGCGCAAGCCUGAUCCAGCCAUGCCGCGUGAGUGACGAAGGCCUUAGGGUUGUAAAG